AGAGUGUGUGCAGUGAGUUUGGCUAGCUAAUGUGCAGUGCUGGUUGCAGUCUGUCUCACUCUAAUGAAUUCUGCAGUGCCUUAAGUUUAAAAAAGGCGCUUCCAGACUACAGUACGGUCUGGAUGUCUAGCAGGAAAAGACUAACACAGGCUGCUCCGGAGAGCUUGAUUAGCCGACUCACCGCAGCUAUGCUAAUCAUGCACCUAGCACUGCUCCACUGAACCGGCUCUGCUCCUCAUCUCUGCAACUAGACAAAUAGUCUGAACUCCUCCCUCUUUCGUCUGAAUUCUCACCUGAAAACAACAUUAGUGUCCUGAUCCGACAACCCUGGAGCCAUUGUUGCCACACCUUUUGGAUCAACAACGCACACUUUCAGCAGAACAGAUCCAGUUCCGCUUCAAUCCGCCCAAUGCUCCUCACCUUGGCGGGUCAAGGGAAAGCGGUGCGAUCGCUAAAGAAAGCCCUCUGCACCAAUGCAAGCAUGAAUCUUGGGCUCUUGUCAUAUUGCAUAGUUGCUGUGCAGAGAGGCCUUUGAUAGCAUGUUUAGGGCAAAUGGAGCUUACAGAACAUUUAAUUUUUUUUUUCUCAAAUUAAAUAAGUUCAUAUAUGUAGGGUUAGUUGUAAGUUUAUCAAAAUCGUUUGUAGAUACAUUGAAAUCCAGUGUGCUAGUGUGUGAUUUUUGAGUAGCCUCUUCUUGACGCACAGUUCCUCUUCUACGACUGCAGAAACAAGACUGGAUGAAGAUGCAACAGGCAUGGUGACACAGUUCCCAACUGUCACUGUAAAGAUGUAAAAAAAAAAAGUGUGUAGUUCUAGUAAAACCAUAAUAUAUAUUUAAUACAUCUAUAUUAAAGUAUCUAUCUAUCUACUUGUAGCAGGUAAAACCAGCCCCUUGUUUGGAACAGACGUAAUUUGAGUUGUGUUUCGUGAUAAUGAUGAAGAUGUGAGAAACUAGAGGUCAGAGCCAUUCUUCUUGGAAGCAAUCAGUAAAAUGGCCUCAUUAAAUUUGAUGACCUUGACCUUUCUAAGGAUCAAACUAACAGCUUUGUUGUGUUUACAGACUACAGCCGUUCCAAAAGCAGCUAUUGAUCACAGCGGAAAUCUCAACAUAUGAUGAUAAACAACUAGUCAUGCACCCCUUACCCUCAUCCAGAACCCGGAGGCUGUCGGGGCUGGUAAUUAUAGGGACUGCUAGUAAACCAGGCACAUCCAUGACUACUUUUAGUGAACAGUCACACCCAUCCCUGGAAUUCCUGGAAGUGAACAUUCCUGGUUUGGCUGCGUCAAAGUGCCUACUGUAAUUAUGUGGCCUUUAAUUGUGCUCUGUUAACACCGUCAGGUUGGGAUGAGCUGUGACCAGAGAAGAGCCUCUUGUCUGUGGAUUUGAGGCCGAUUGGAUUUGGUGGGAACAGUUUGUAUUGUUAUAAAGGAUCAUUCUUUUGUCACCAUUUCGUUCUGCCGUGAUCAGAAGAGAAAAACAAUAAGAGAGGAAAAAAAGGCAAAGCACUCGGGCCCUGUUGGAGGUUUUCGAGUCCUCUACUUAUGACUGUUUUUGUUUUAUUUGUUUCGGGAUGUAACAAGUAAAGUAUUACAAAGGACUAAAUCAGGAGCAGUUAGCAACUUUUGUUCAUUGAUAAUUCUGUUCCUUUGUCUUGUUUCUCCCUCACUUCAGAGAAGUGUUGAGAGGGGGAAAAGUGGCAUGGGUUGGACACACACACACACACACACACACCGAAGUCUUAAUUUAGGUUUCUGAUUUGUGGGUUUGUUGUAGUAGUGUGACAGAACGCUCCACUUUAAGGUAACACAUCUUUAUUGCAAUAUUUUACGUUAGCUGUCACAUCCUAUGUCCCAUGUCUGAGCGCUUAACGUUUAUUAAACAUAACGGUAUGAAGUACCUGGUGACCAAUCUCCAUCCGGUCUAGCUAGUAUAUUCAUAAAUGGUGGUUGGGUUUUGGCAAAGGGUCUGAUAGGUCACCUUCUAUACAAGGUGAUACAUCAGACCAACAAUAGUUUUGGAAAUCUCUUUUGACAAAGGAAGGAGAAUGUACAAAACAUCCAGGUUUUUGAAUUCUGCUUGGAAUAAGUUGCUUCACGUGUUUUAAGGCAGCCAGAGAGAUACUGUGGGUAUUCGCACAGUCACAGCUAAACCAGGCCAGGCCGCCACACCGCAAGGUAAAUGGGAAUCUUAUACUCAGCCUCCUUCAUCCUUUCCUUCAAAUUCCAGGGAUAUUUCUGUCUUCCCACGCCAAGUAAACAAACUAACACAAAGACUAAGGAAUGUAGACAAGUCCCUCUGAUGUCUCUGUGUGUGCGUGUCUGCGUGUGUGCGUGUUUACAAAUUUGAAUUCAAGAUUCAAUGUGAAGCAAUGGAGCUGUUUACAUUGUUCAGUUAUUUAUUUACUUGGUAGUUUGAAUUAUUUAAGAAUUUAAUUUGAUCUGUCAACUAUUUAACCAUUAAUGUUAGCCAGUUAUUUCAAUCAUCUAUGCUGUUCUUUUAGCAAAUAUGUAAUCGGUUUAAUUCUACUUACAAAAAGGUUUAAACCUAAACCUCUGUUUGCUAACACGCUCUGGACUUCACGUGGCACGAUAUGUAGAUAUGCUUUUGAUUCUUUGAUCUAGUUAUUUGAGGUAUACCCUGCAAAUCUGUUUUGAUAUCACUACCCUAGAGAAGAAGCCACUGCUGUCACAUCAGUCUGCAAGCGUAGAAAAUACAUUUGACCUACAGUCUCGGGAACUACAGUACAUCCUGGUGCGAUGAGGUGAGGUGACGGGCGGCACGAUCCCGCCCGCGAGUCUCCUCUCACUGGGAGCGAGCCGGGCAGAGAAGUGCUAACAGGAAUGAUGCUCUGCGAGUGCUUCACCUGUGUUGGUGUUUUCCCCCCUCUGGCCUGUCUGUAAUUACCAACAGGAAGCUUCAGACCACACAUCUCCUGUGGGAUGCCUCCUCACACUGGGAGGAGCGGGGGAGGGAAUCCUGAACACCAGCUAGCAACCGUGUGCAAACUGGAGCUCUUCACCUGUACUGAUCAGCGGCUGCGUCGUGUGAACACUGCCUGUAACUUAUCGAAAUAUCUGAUUCCGGAUCAAUGUGAAACAUCGUAGAGUUCCCCUUUACCAAUGAUUAAUUCAUUAUUUUGAUUGCCAAAAGACCCAAUGACGUCUGAGUCAACUAAUUGAGAUCUGGGGAAAAAAAACCCGACUUUGUACCAUCGAAGUCUGAAAUGUCUUUUUAGUACAAUGUGCUACAUUGUGUUAUUUCCAUUGAACGUGGUGAUUUUCCUUGUUCGUGGAUUUUGGCAGCCCAGACGUGGCCGUUACGGUUGAUGAUGCGCUCACUCCUCGGUGGCCUCACUAUGGCUCAGAGCACCUUGUGAGCAGUCUGUUUGUCAGGCCCGGAGCGAUUGGUAAGUUUUGAUGUCCAGUAUCCUCUGGGAGGCUCAGAAGAUGAACCGGACAGCACCCGCGCUUGGCCAUGUGGAGCUGUGAGCGGGCCGAAUGAAAGGGGAUCCUUGUUCCACCGAUGCGGAUUAGAUGUGGAAGCGACACACGCUACCGACCGACUGGUUUUGUGAAUGACUGAUUCACUGACUGGACAGUUCACACCGACAGGCUGUCUGCUUGUAACAGAGCACGCUUUGUACGAGACCGGAAACACUGAAAUAUUGUUGUGUUUUCUGUCCAUCAUCAGCUUCUUGUUCUGCAUUAAGGACUGCACUGUGUUGGUGUUGGUUCCUAAUUGAGCCUGAGCACUGAAACACUGGGAGAGCACGGAAUGUAUGUAGGGUUUUGUAAAAAAAAUUGUUAGGGACAACUCCACACUCACUCAGUUCGAGCAGUCAGUCACCGACAGCAAACUCCCAAAAAUGGGGAAAAAGAAAGUGAGUCUGGAAACGUCUCUAAUGUUAAUUUCUUCAUCUGUUUUGAGUGGCCUGUGUGUGUUUCUAUAAAUUGAACAUUGCUGGUUGAGCAAGGCAGUGGAUGCACAUGGUAUUUAUACAAUGCUUGUUUGACAUUUUUUGAUUCAGGGAAAGACUAAAGAGAAAUUACAGCUUAACCAGGGGCCAGACCCAUUUAAAGCUCAGCCUGAGAAAUCAAAGCUGUAGUGCACAUACGGUGAAUAAGGCCUAAAUGCUGAUGGAUGGAUGAAUGAAAUGGUGCAGAUUGAUUUUCUUUUGUCUGCCGAUCAGUUGUAACAGACGGUUACAUAGCCCUGGUUAUAUUUUUGUUAGUGGUGAGGGAAGGUCAAGGUCUGAUCCCUUGAAGCUCUCAAUUGAAUUAUUGUCCUCAAAUUAAUUGACAGGGGCAAAAUGUCUGACUUCAGGUGUAUUUAGGUUUUGAUUAGCUGUUCAUACGUUCAAUAGAACUCUGGAUAUUUAUUGAAUAUUACUGAUAAAGGCAGUGAGAGAAUCAACUGGGACUUCAUCAAUCUGUCAUCCUGUCUGUUUGUCAAAACUAUAUCUACCAGUCCAUAUCUGGUUAAAUCCGCUCCCUGUAUUCCCCAACCAGAACAUCCUCAGCAAGGUAGCUACGUCUUCUCGUUGCAGUGGUCAUUGUCUAUAUUUGACAUUUAAAGUACAUCCCUGCCCCCAAAAAAUAUUUCUUAACCUGUAUGCUUGAUAGUACAGUGGCAUGCUGGCGAGAACUGGUCAGCAGGGCUGCACGAUUGAUUUGAUGUAAAUGUUCACUUCACUCAUUUACCCCACAUUGAGAAUAUAAUGGUGCCUGAUAGUGGAUCAGCACAUCAACCUUGGACAGGAGAAAGGGAACGCUCCCGCUUUUAGCUAGAAUGCAGCAGCUUCAUGAAUCACACUCUGAACUUUUUUGUCUUGUCUUCUCUUGGCUCGCACAACCUUUGAACAAGUAUUGUUCUGUGCAUAAGAUGGCGAGAGAGGGACAGAAGCUAUACAUCUCAAAAUGUGAACCAACAACUGUCAAAAAUCUCAGACUGAGAUUUCAGUCUAAGUCUGAAACUGAAACUGAAAUCCAUGUAGAUAUUUGGACACUCCCAAGCCCUAAGGUAACUUUCCUGAGGGCUCGGACCUUUAUUAGCUUGUUAGAGCCGUGGUGUGUUGUUCCCAAUCCUUGUGAGGCAAGGCCACGUGAUGCAAAGUUCAAAGCUUUAUUAAUACCCUCCUCAAACCUUGCUCCAACAAUAGGCAGCCUUAAGCAGCGUGUCGGUCCGAAUGGCGAGGGUUGAAUAUUGUGAUUGGCCAGUGAGCCCAGUCAUGACAAGUGCCUGGAGCAUGCUCUCAUGCGCACCUCGACUGAUGACAUGACAGGUACAGAGAGAGGCCUUUGCCGAGUUCUGCCUUCCUGCUGAGAACGGCUGAACGUCACAGGAGCGCACACAACUAAACUACUGGUGUAAUGCACCAGCGUGGCGGGAUUUCUCCAGGUAGAAGAGACGGAGCGAAGCCAUGUACUGCCCACGGCACCAAAAUAAAGCAACAGCAACAAAGCACUUUGUUAGAAAUAUGAGAAGUUUCGUUGUGAAACUGCGGUGGGACAACUAACUGACGGGCGCUUAGCUUGAGGUAAUUAAUGGACGUCACUGCACUAACUUGCAUUGAGGAUCGAACACCUAAAAUAUUAACGGACCGAUUUCCGGUUGACGCUGUGGGUAAAAGAAGUCAAUACAGAUGCCCAUCUAUUCAGACAUCUCACUGUCCAUGUUAUCGUUAAACUGAGCAAUACUUUUGUUAAAGCCUGGAGCGUCAUCUCAGCAACUCAAGUCCGUGUGAUGCAUCCUGUUCCCAGCCCCCUGUUUGGGUUUUCAUGUGUGAGUCGCUUGAAUGAAUCAGUUUACCCAGACGUAUUCCCGCCAUCCAGCUGGUGACUGGUGUGAGUUUCCCAGCCGACCUUCCUGCUGGGCUGGUAUUUCUGUUUCCCUGGAAGCCCCCUAUUGGCAUUUUGACCCACAGCAGUGAUUUUUAUCCCGUGGCCAGAGCAGAGCGCCCUGUAAUGGCAGAAUGGAAAAAAAGGUAAACUGCUUUUCCGUGCGCAUAAACUACAGUAACUUUUUAUAACCCAUCUCCAAAGUUUUGAUAACGCUGUCUGACGGAAGCAACAAAGCAGGAAAACAUUUUCACUUAUAAAGGUAGAUUCCUUAGUAAAAUUGUGAAAACCAAAUACACACAAGAACUCCAUUUAAAAAUAUCAACGUCUCCUUGGUCAAAUCAUUGGGGUUUUCUGUUUUUCACUUUAAAGAGCUAGGAGAUGUCUUAAAUGAUCUCAUUUUCUACUCAUGUGGUCCAGUAUUCUAUGAGUCUGAGAUACAUGUUUCUGAAUGGUUCACUUUUCUGCUCGGCUUAGUUUUGUUUGUUGAUUUGUGUUUGGCUCCCCCAGCUGGCAGCCCUGCCACUGAGUAUGUGCGUGUGUGCAUUGUUUGUGAGUGCUAGAUGCUCCUUUCAGAAAGAUGUGAUGUGUUAAAUGGUGUUUUUAGUUUCCUCCUCUCCUGCCAUCUCCAUUUUAGCCCCAUUCCUUCUCCUCCUUCUUCUUCAUCCUCUGUCCACUUCCCCUCGUCUGAUUCCUCUUCCUCCUCAUCUGUUGUUCGUUCCAUUCCUCCCUUCCACCUACCCUGCACUGGUCAGACAGUGAGCGAGGAGGCUUCCGACAAGCGGCUCCGGCGCUGAGACGAACUUCAGACGGAGAUUAUCUCCUUCCUCUCCCCCCAGCUCUCUACAGGCACAGUGCAAGAUUACACCUUUUCCAACACAGCUCCCAUCACCCCAUGCUGGGGUCAGAGGGCGAGAUGGAGUCGGGGGGCGGUGGGGGCUCUGAGCAGAGAAAGAACAUUCUGUACCAGAGAAAAGGCAGCACUGGUUCCCUCCUGCUGAGCACGAACAGUCACCGUAUGGUUGGUGGGACCACACAGUCUGAUGGUUCUGAUUGGCUUUCCGUGUCAGUCGGGAGGCAGCCCCUGAAGGUCAUGUCAUGGUCACUGCCUGGUGAGGAUAGUUUGUCCUAAUGGAAGGACAGUAGCUAUCUUCUCCCUCAUUCACCCAAUUUUGUAAAUGGAAAAACUAUCAGAGGGCUUCAAAUGCCUGGCACCUCACUGAUUUUUAAAAUCUUAAAUAUUAGGUAUUUCCCAAACUGUGCUGGAUUAGUGUCACGAUCGAGGUGCUUUAUGUUUGGUCAAACAAGUGUAGACCAACAGUAAAAACAAUAAUAUAAUAAAUUACUGGUUGAUUUAGAACUGCCACUU
Scophthalmus maximus (turbot) is the source of this 7207-nucleotide long non-coding RNA. RefSeq lists it as uncharacterized. The record is from RefSeq and is a predicted model, not a curated record. The transcript has 2 exons. NCBI's taxonomy places the organism in Eukaryota, Metazoa, Chordata, Actinopteri, Pleuronectiformes, Scophthalmidae.